GAUGUAACGCCUGGGCGGCGUGCUAACACGAUGCAAGUCGAACGGAGUGGCUCGAUAGGACGGAGGAUUCGUCCAACGGAUUGAGUUACUUAGUGGCGGACGGGUGAGUAACGCGUGAGGAACCUACCUCGGAGUGGGGAAUAACAGCCCGAAAGGGUUGCUAAUACCGCAUGAUGCAGCUGGGUCGCAUGACCCUGGUUGCCAAAGAUUUAUCGCUGAAAGAUGAGCUCGCGUCUGAUUAGCUAGUUGGCGGGGUAACGGCCCACCAAGGCGACGAUCAGUAGCCGGACUGAGAGGUUGAACGGCCACAUUGGGACUGAGACACGGCCCAG
Molecule: ribosomal RNA, 332 nt
Filed under: uncultured bacterium
Lineage: Bacteria
Description: bacterial SSU rRNA
Rfam family: Bacterial small subunit ribosomal RNA
Source: RNAcentral